Molecule: ribosomal RNA, 468 nt
Filed under: uncultured bacterium
Lineage: Bacteria
Description: bacterial SSU rRNA
Rfam family: Bacterial small subunit ribosomal RNA
Source: RNAcentral
GACGAACGCUGGCGGCGUGGAUUAGGCAUGCAAGUCGGACGGUAGGGCUUUAUCGUAAGAUAGAGUUUGAGAGUGGCGAACGGGUGAGUAACACGUAGGAAUCUACCCUUAAGACGGGGACAACCCAGGGAAACUUGGGCUAAUACCGGAUGAGAGUGCGAGAGAUUGCAUUUAAAAGGAUGGCGAAAGUUGUCGCUUAGGGAUGAGCCUGCGGUCUAUUAGUUAGUUGGUGAGGUAAGAGCUCACCAAGGCGAUGAUAGAUAGGCGGCCUUAACGGGUGGUCGCCCACACUGGGAUUGAGAUACGGCCCAGACUCCUACGGGAGGCAGCAGUGGGGAAUAUUGGGCAAUGGGCGAAAGCCUGACCCAGCAACGCCGCGUGAAGGAAGAAGGUCUUCGGAUUGUAAACUUCUGUCGUCAGGGACGAAAAAGGACGGUACCUGGCAAGAAAGCCCCGGCUAACUACGUG